This 559-nucleotide long non-coding RNA is filed under the name Eucalyptus grandis. RNAcentral describes it as "long non-coding RNA (EGRA_LNC005411)". The record is from RNAcentral. Lineage: Eukaryota; Viridiplantae; Streptophyta; Magnoliopsida; Myrtales; Myrtaceae.
UUUAAGAACAUAUACAAAAGGGAGAAUAUUGGUGUAGCCUAGGCAAGGAAUCAAAGGGAGCAAAGAAAAUGGGUUUGGGUCUAGAGAAAUCACUUUGACCAUGUGAGCCUCCAAAUGCUGGCCAUUGAUUCACAACAUUAUCUCAAUUGGACCACUUUUUGCUAUAGGAUUACUUUUGGGUCAAUUUCUGCCUUUUGUUUUUAGGUAGACAAUCAGAUCUCAGUGAUUUUUAAGAAUAAAGACCACCCAAGGGGUAAUUAAUAAAAUAAAUUACUUUAAUUAAUUGGUCCUUUAUUUAUUUAUUUUUAUAAAAAAAUCUUGGUAGGUGAAUUGGCCGAGGCUUUGUUGGGAAAGCAAAGGGAGCACAAAGCUGUCAAAGAUCCCUCCUUUGUUAAUCAUUAAACUUUUGGCUAAUAGUCAUGGGUUUAUACAUUAAUUAAAUCGAUGAAAGCUGUCAUUUUUCUUUUUCACUAGUUGUCGAAAAAAGAGCCCUCACAUUAAUUACAACAUUAAUUUACAAUAAGUCAAUUAAUCACAACUAUGGUUCGCAAGGAGGGAA